Molecule: unclassified non-coding RNA, 256 nt
Filed under: Fusarium sp.
Lineage: Eukaryota; Fungi; Ascomycota; Sordariomycetes; Hypocreales; Nectriaceae
Description: partial contains 5.8S ribosomal RNA, internal transcribed spacer 2, and large subunit ribosomal RNA
Source: RNAcentral
CGCACAUUGCGCCCGCCAGUAUUCUGGCGGGCAUGCCUGUUCGAGCGUCAUUUCAACCCUCAAGCCCCCACCGGCUUGGUGUUGGGGAUCGGCCCGCUCCUCGCGGCAGCCGGCCCCGAAAUCUAGUGGCGGUCUCGCUGUAGCCUCCUCUGCGUAGUAGCAACACCUCGCACUGGGACGCGGCGCGGCCACGCCGUAAAACACCCCACUUCUGAAGGUUGACCUCGGAUCAGGUAGGAAUACCCGCUGAACUUAA